This 452-nucleotide ribosomal RNA is filed under the name uncultured bacterium. Its description in RNAcentral is "bacterial SSU rRNA". It matches the Rfam family "Bacterial small subunit ribosomal RNA", at positions 64 to 507 of the family's 1533-position model. The record is from RNAcentral.
GAACGGUAGCACAGAGAGCUUGCUCUCGGGUGACGAGUGGCGGACGGGUGAGUAAUGUCUGGGAAACUGCCCGAUGGAGGGGGAUAACUACUGGAAACGGUAGCUAAUACCGCAUAACGUCGCAAGACCAAAGUGGGGGACCUUCGGGCCUCACACCAUCGGAUGUGCCCAGAUGGGAUUAGCUAGUAGGUGGGGUAAUGGCUCACCUAGGCGACGAUCCCUAGCUGGUCUGAGAGGAUGACCAGCCACACUGGAACUGAGACACGGUCCAGACUCCUACGGGAGGCAGCAGUGGGGAAUAUUGCACAAUGGGCGCAAGCCUGAUGCAGCCAUGCCGCGUGUAUGAAGAAGGCCUUCGGGUUGUAAAGUACUUUCAGCGGGGAGGAAGGCGGUGGAGUUAAUAGCUUCACCGAUUGACGUUACCCGCAGAAGAAGCACCGGCUAACUCCGUG